This 747-nucleotide ribosomal RNA is filed under the name uncultured Corticiaceae. RNAcentral describes it as "eukaryotic LSU rRNA". The stretch from base 305 to 458 matches the Rfam family "5.8S ribosomal RNA". Lineage: Eukaryota; Fungi; Basidiomycota; Agaricomycetes; Corticiales; Corticiaceae. The record is from RNAcentral.
UCCGUAGGUGAACCUGCGGAAGGAUCAUUAUCGAAUUGUAAGGUCUCUGGUUGUCGCUGGCUCUCCUCUUUCGGGGGGAGCAUGUGCACGCCAGGUCCGCACUCUUCAUUCUUUAACCUCCUGUGCACCCUCUGUGGAUCGUGGUUGGGUAACUCUCGGGCUAACACCCGGUUUUGAGGUUUGCGUCUAAAACGCGCUUUCCUCUACAUCCACACCUCGGUUCAUGUAACUUUACACACUACUUUAUUAAACCUAGAAUGAUUAUACGAGUUGGGACUUUAUUGACCCUCCUUAAACUUUAUACAACUUUCAACAACGGAUCUCUUGGCUCUCGCAUCGAUGAAGAACGCAGCGAAAUGCGAUAAGUAAUGUGAAUUGCAGAUUUCAGUGAAUCAUCGAAUCUUUGAACGCACCUUGCGCCUUGUGGUAUUCCACAAGGCAUGCCCGUUUGAGUGUCAUUAAAUCAUCAACCUCAAAACCUUUGUGUUUCUGAGGCUUGGUCUUGAGGGUUUUGCAGGCCAUCCCCUUGGUCUGCUCCCUUUAAAUCUAUUAGCGAGACUUCCCUGUGCUGACCGUCUCUUGGCGUGAUAAUUAUCUGCGUCAAACUUGGCGGUUCUCGUUGGGCUUGCUUCUAAUCGUCCUCGGACAAUCGGAUUUGGGCGCAUAUAUGCACCUUUUUCCAAACCUUUUUGACCUCAAAUCGGGUAGGACUACCCGCUGAACUUAAGCAUAUCAAUAAGCGGAGGA